AGCGCUCGUUCACAGACGAGCGACCCGAUCAUUGGCAGAAUCGGUUUAAUUAUUAAAAAACACGAUUGUCGAGUCCCACGUGAGAUAACAUCAGCCUCUCAAAAACAAGACUUUCCUUUCUUUUACUGGGAGAGGAGAGGAGAGGAGAGGGGAGGAGAGGAGAGGAGAGGAGGAUAAGCAGAGACUUUGUUAUUAAAUGUCGAGCCAUGGCCUCAUUUCUGCUCAGGCUGAACUGAGGGACGACGCAGACGAGGACGGUGACGGCCUUGUUGUCCUCUGAGACUGGCCAGCAGGUUGGAUUAAACCUUCCUUUAUGAAUUACAGUACUGGCACCAAAAAAAAACAACCUAAUCCUCGAAAGUGAAGGAGGGACCUGAAGAUUAUCAGAGGAAAAGAGCUGAUGGUGAUUUCAUGGCUUUCCAGGGAAUCCCUGUCACACUUCACUGACGCUGACCACUGCCUACCACUCACUGACAUACAUAUAUAUAUAUAUAUAUAU
This is a long non-coding RNA of Solea senegalensis (Senegalese sole), 499 nucleotides long. RefSeq lists it as uncharacterized. The transcript has 3 exons. NCBI's taxonomy places the organism in Eukaryota, Metazoa, Chordata, Actinopteri, Pleuronectiformes, Soleidae. The record is from RefSeq and is a predicted model, not a curated record.